RNAcentral lists this ribosomal RNA (314 nucleotides) under Acinetobacter baumannii. RNAcentral's name for it is "partial 23S ribosomal RNA". It matches the Rfam family "Bacterial large subunit ribosomal RNA", at positions 150 to 502 of the family's 2925-position model. The record is from RNAcentral. Lineage: Bacteria; Pseudomonadati; Pseudomonadota; Gammaproteobacteria; Moraxellales; Moraxellaceae.
AUCGUUAACUGAAUACAUAGGUUAACGAGGCGAACCGGGGGAACUGAAACAUCUAAGUACCCCGAGGAAAAGAAAUCAACCGAGAUUCCCCCAGUAGCGGCGAGCGAACGGGGAGCAGCCCAGAGUCUGAAUCAGCUUGUGUGUUAGUGGAACGGUCUGGAAAGUCCGACGGUACAGGGUGAUAGUCCCGUACACCAAAAUGCACAGGUUGUGAACUCGAAGAGUAGGGCGGGACACGUGGUAUCCUGUCUGAAUAUGGGGGGACCAUCCUCCAAGGCUAAAUACUCCUGACUGACCGAUAGUGAACCAGUACC